GUCAAGUAAGACUCCAUCAUCACCUUCCAGCAAAGAAGGAGUGGGGAGAUCUGAGAAUCGAUACUGAACAGCUUCAGUACUACGAUGCCAUAAUGGGGCUGUGAGCUCAGCCGAAAGCCCCCCGCCCAGUUUUUUUUGGAAGUGGUCAUAGAAUCUCUCUGGAGAAACAACAUGGAAAUGGAGACCAAAAGAGGGAAGGAGGGAUGCCACCAGAUGACACUGGGAUCCCGGAAGACGGAACACUGUGUGCAACGGGCAAAGGCUCAGUACUUUACAGACGUCACCUCACGUAACCCACGCCACAACCGGGAGAAAGACAUGAUUGGCGUUGUACCCACGAGGAAACAGAGAGGGAAGGGAGCUGUCCAGGACCACAGGGUUGGUUGGUGGAGCAGGCAGGAAAGCCUCACGGAAGAGAACUUUUCAAAAGGGAUUUCAACCUCUGACCACCUGGAGACAGGCGACUGGCGCUCAUUGUAAAUGCACCGACAUGACAGGGAACAGCUGCUGGGGAGGUGGAGACGGGUGCGGGGAGAGACAGGAAACCCCAGAGGCUUGGAAAUCCAGGAGCCACAGGAAGCAGUGAGCUUUCUGCGGAGCCGGAUCCGGUGGAGCCAAUUCACCAGCAGGUCCCGGCAGCGACUCUUCUACAACAGAUUCCUGCCCGUCCCUGUGCCCCAUCGCCCCCCUGCCGUCAAUCUCCACCUCAAGGGAGCCAGACCAAGCCUUUCUGUGUGUAGCGCACAUCUCUCCUGCGUAGAGCUCACCUAGUGGCUUCCAUAGCUUUUUUUUUUUUUUUUUUUUUUUGAGACAGGGUCUUGCCCUGUCACCCAGGCUGGGGUACGGUGGCAUGAUCAUGGCUCACUGCAGCUCGCUCCUGGGCUCAAGUGAUCCUCCUGCCUCAACCUCUCAAGUAGCUGGGACUACAGUCGUGCACCACCCCACCCAGCUAAUUACUAUUUUUUGUAGACGUGGGAUCUUGCUAUGUUGCCCAGGCUGGUCUUGAACUCCUGGCCUCAAGCAACCUUCUCACUUCAGCCUCCCUAAGUGCUGGAAUUAUAGGUAUGAGCCAUCCCGCCAGUCUUCCAUGGCAUUUCUAACAAUAUCCUUGAAGGACCUCUGUGAAUCCCUUUCCCAAUGUCUAUCUGCACUGUCCCUGUCCCAGGCUGAUCCUGCUCAGACACACUGGCUUGCUUUCUGGUCCUCUCACAAGCCAACCCUGUCCCCACCCCAGGGCCUUUGCACUUAUGGUUUUGCCUCUACCUAAAUACCCUAUACCAGUGCUGUCUGAUAGAAAUAUGUAAUAAUGGGGGCCGGGCGUGGUGGCUCACGCCUGUAAUCCCAGCACUUUUGGGAGGCCGAGAUGGGCAGAUCACGAGGUCAGGAGAUCGAGACCAUCCUGGCUAACACAGUGAAACCCCCUCUCUACUAAAAAUACAAAAAAUUAGCCAGGCGUGGUGGCGUGUGCCUGUAGUCCCAGCUACUCAGGAGGCUGAGGCAGGAGAAUGGCGUGAACCCGGGAGGCGGAGCUUACAGUGAGGCGGAGCUUACAGUGAGCUGAGAUCACACGCCACUGCACUCCAGCCUGGGUGACAGAACGAGACUCCAUCUCAAAAAAAAAAAAAAAAAAAAAGUAAUAAUGGGAGCCUCAUAUGUAAUUGUACAUUUUCUAGCAGUAAGAGGAAAUUAAAUUUAAUAAUAUAUUUUAUUUCACCCAAUAGAUCCAAAAUAGUAUCACUUCAAUGUGUAAUCAGUAUUUAAAAAUUCC
This 1768-nucleotide long non-coding RNA is filed under the name Pan troglodytes (chimpanzee). RNAcentral describes it as "long non-coding RNA NONPTRT004075". Lineage: Eukaryota; Metazoa; Chordata; Mammalia; Primates; Hominidae. The record is from RNAcentral.